CUCGUGAGUCUGCGAGCUUGCACUGGUUAACAAAUUUAAUUAUUGAGCAGGACUUCCCAUCAAAGCGCGGAACCAAAGCAUUGGCUAAAGUCAAUGGCAUAAAUAUAGUCUCCGUGGCAUCAGAAGGUAACUCGGUAAUUUCCAUGGCAUCUGAAUCCUCUGAAGAAGUUGACUCAUUACCGAGGAGAGAUAAAUUAGCUCUGCGAGUAGGAGUUCGCGUGGAUAUUGCGCUCAAUUCAUUCGACUGUAAAGAAGUUGAAGAAGACCCCGGUGCAUGUAACUCUAUCGCUAAAUCUCCCAUCUCGCACGCACUACUACCACUCAAGCCAGCCCUAUGGUUUUGUCUAGCUUUUACGAAUCCGGUCUUGUACGGCGGCAUUUUGAAAGAAUCUAAUCUAUGCUUACCACGUGUCCCAAUGUCAAUCCUCAGGUGAGCCCUCACCGGUCCUUUGCCUGGAAGAUGAUUCCUCUGAUUCACCGAAUGCGCUGGCUCCUUGGCUCCUUGGAAGAUUCCUCCUCUCGUCCGUCGAAAGGUUAGCGAGCACGGCCGCUGAAACCACCCGUCUCCGGCAUCCACCCUUGCCCUCAGGGAAACCGUGCAAAACCCAAGGGGGAGAGGUUGCACUUUCGCGUUGGUUACACUAUUAUAAACUGCUGUUUAUCAACGUCAGCUCACGAGUCUACGAAAAUCACAGUUCUACAAGUGCAGACUGUAUAUACCACACACACUCACAAGCCGGCAAAGUUUAUCACUCAAAACGUUUGUGAAAUUAAUGCGUAUAUUUUCAAAUAAUCCCACCGCUGUCACCAAUUUUGUCGCGUAUUUUAGCGGGGAAUUUGAGAUAAGAACGCGGGUUGGUGCCCGUGGAGCGCAGAACCGCUCUGCUUGUCGGAGUGUGGGAAUUUAAUAAAACUAGACAAGAGAACUCUUUCGUUAGGUAACUUCGUACUUUAUUCUACUGGUCCGAAGGCCGGUUAGAGACGCAAUGACAUAAGAAAAAUCGUAGCGUUUCGAAGUCACCUCCGAGGUCCUCGCCGAAGUCGUUGGCCAAAUCCUCCUAGUCCUCCCAUAGAUCCUCGUAGUCCAAUCAGGGUGAAGGACGCAUCAGAUCCAAGCGGUAGGCCGUCCUUCCGAUGCACGCACGCCCCCGCGAAUCGGCGUCUAACUUUCCCUCCGUCUUCGGGUGGUGGUGGGAACUCGGUGGAGUCGCGCUUUUCCGUUACACAGCGGGGUGCCCACGUGGGAAGAGAAAGUAGGCUCUGCUCCGAGGAUCGAGGGAACAAC
Molecule: long non-coding RNA, 1285 nt
Organism: Colletes gigas
Lineage: Eukaryota; Metazoa; Arthropoda; Insecta; Hymenoptera; Colletidae
Exons: 3
Source: RefSeq, a predicted model, not a curated record